GAGCCCCAAUGAUCUUCUCUGCUGUUCUCACCUUUCCUCACUUUCUUCAAGUCUGGAUUUAAUCCCAGGUGUUUCAGUUUGCCCAUCAGAUGCUGUGGGAUGAUGGUGUUGAAAGCUGAACUGAAAUCUAGAAACAGCAUCCGCACAUGGGUUUUCUUCUCCUCCAGGUGUGCCAGGCUCAGGUGGAGAGCAGCAGAGAUGGCGUCCUCAGUGUCGAUGGCGUUGGUUUUGCGAACUGGAACGGGUAAAAUGUUGGUGGCAAACUGGAGACAAUGUGUUUUUAACCAGCCUUUCGAAGCACUUCAUCAUGAUUCGAGUCAGUGCAACAGCGCAGUAAUCAUUGAGAAGACUUCCUGUUACUGGAUGAGCCUGGACCUUCUUCCCCUGGAAGGAUUAACUGAGUCUCACUGAGCAAGGGGAAAAGCUCCACAUGAUCCAUUCAAGUCCAGUCCUGGAAAACCAAGUGAAAGUCCACUCCUUUACUCCUCUCGAUCCAACGUAUGUCUGCCUGUCCGCUCUCCAAUGAGUUCUCUCUUCUCUGGAUUAAACCCCCAGAAACUGGAUCCAAGGAUAAACCAGGGGCCCCCCAAAAGUGAGUGGCUCUCCAGCAAUAUUCAAGCCUCAGUCUAUUUUCCAUCGGUGUUUGCUAAUCUACAAUAAACCUGUUAAAAUUUUA
Molecule: long non-coding RNA, 676 nt
Organism: Cyprinodon tularosa
Lineage: Eukaryota; Metazoa; Chordata; Actinopteri; Cyprinodontiformes; Cyprinodontidae
Exons: 2
Source: RefSeq, a predicted model, not a curated record